This is a long non-coding RNA of Armigeres subalbatus, 2398 nucleotides long. RefSeq lists it as uncharacterized. The transcript is spliced from 2 exons. Lineage: Eukaryota; Metazoa; Arthropoda; Insecta; Diptera; Culicidae. The record is from RefSeq and is a predicted model, not a curated record.
GCACUUAAAAGCUUGAAAAUCACUUUAACAUGGACAAAACGUGAACGAAACGAAUCGCAAUGUUCACAAGACUUGUAGAGCACACCAAAAGCUUCCGUAUAGAGGUUAUUGCGAUAGUUUUCGACGUUUAUAUAUCAUGUUAGAUUUUUUCAAAAAUUGAAGAUAGCCCAAAAACACUAAAUCGACUUGAGCCACCUCGAAAUUUUGUCCGAAUUAGCUGAAAAUUUGACAGGAGACUUAUUUUAGCAUAAGCAUUGUGAUUCUUUGCUGACCGGUUAAAAUUUUGAUACUUUUUGAAAACAUGAAGAGGUCUAAUAUAUAUAUAUAUGCGAAACGAAGUUUCUAUAAAACGUGUAAUCUCAUCGAGUAAUGUGAAAUUUAAACAUUUUAAGUAAUAUAGUGAAAGUAUCAUCAAUAAUGUCCUGCCGUGAAUCGCAAGUCAUGGAAUCCAUAUACAGAUGGGACUGACUUGCGAUUCACGGCAGUGUUGAUGGUGUUGUACUAACUUCGUUGAAAUAAAUAAAUUUAAUCGAAAAUUAGACAUUUUAAGAAAGCAAUACACGGACGGCUUGUUUUUAUAAGAAAUUGCAAACAUUUUUAAAUGUAGAGCCAUUUAUUCACCCAGAACAUUAAAAAUCCUUUUUUUGCCUUUCUCGUAUACUAAGUAUACAAUUGGCCAGAUUGGACUAUGGGAUCAGAAAUUAUGACCAAAAUACUAUUUUCUAUGCGCAAAACAAGCUAAAAAUCAAAGCACUCACUCAUGUUUUUAGUAUUUUUUUUUGCACGAGAAAGGCACCAACACCGUUAGGUGGAUUAAUGAGGGUUUAUUUUGUAAAAUCGUAGGCAAUAAACCUAUCUAUGUGUGUGUAAUUUAAUAUUGUGAAUUAAAACAAUAUUAAUUGCAGAAUUGAAAGGUGAUCCAUCUUGCUCCGCUGUUUGACCCAUCGUACCCCGGCAUUUUUUGAUUAACAGAAAAAUAGACUUCUACUUCUACAGAGAAUUCAAACCCUGCGCUUCGGAGAUUAUAACAAACAGAUUUGCACCCUUUUCAUGUUAUGCGGAUACAAGCACAAACCAGUUCAUUUUUAAAUUCAAAAAGAUAAUUUAUCUGAAGAAUUCGCGUCUUGCCGUGAUUAACAAUUCCAAAAAUAAAAAUUCUUUAAUUUCAAUACAGAGAAUUAUGAAUUGUUUUAGCCUAUUCCGGCCAGUACUGCAAAAGAUCAUGAUCGUCUUAAGACAGAAAGCAAAACGCUUUUUUCUAUCUCAGGCGACCAAACGAAAGUAUCGUGGAUUCUUUGAUCAAUUUCGCAUGGAAAGCAGUCAUGAAAAGAUGUGGUGCUUUGUUUUAAAAUUUUUGAAUUACACUGGAUUCUGUUUUUACACGAUUUACAUUUUCUUAACUUUACACUCAUCCUGAAUGUUUAACGGAUAUUAAUGAUUUUUCUUUGAUUUAUUCAGGAUUUUUGAAUCACGUUGCAUAGAUUUUGUUGGUAAAUUGAAGUCACACGAUCAAAAAUACGAACAAAAAAAAAACGUAAAAACAGAAUCCUGUGUAUUUUAAUAGGUAUAUGUAAAGAAUAAUGACUAUUCAAAAAAUAGUCAUGUUCUUUUAAUCCACCGAGUUGAAUGUGGUAAUAAACACAAAAAUGAAGCGAUAUUGCACACUUCCAUGCCUUGUCACGGAAUAAAUGAUGAAAAUGAUCACAUCAGUCGCAUUUUAACUAAAUGAGUUAUUCUUUUGUAUCUUACUAGAAAACAGGGUUUUUUUUUCCCUUAUUUUGUUCUGUAGGUCUACCGCUGAAGGCUGCUACAACAGAACGAUAAAAUCGGGAAUCAUAGUUAAUAACUGUGGAAAUGUUAUACGAAUGGGGUACUAAAAACCAAGUAAUUCGAUUGGAAUACGUACGGCCGAAUUAUAAACGUUUAGAACUGGUGUUGCCCAAAUAGAUCUUCUUUACUGAAGUGAUAGAAAUUUGAUUAAUUUAAGCAUACUGUACUCUGCAGUACUAUCCGGAGUAUGGUGCAUACCGUGUACAGCUUUGCGAAAAUGCCUUUGAUGAUCAAUACUAGUACUAAAGGAUCUUUCCUUACAUAUUUCUUAAACGGCAAUUUUAUGUUAAGCUUUCCAGUAAAUGCGACUAUUUCAAUAAAUAAUGUUUUCCUAAACCAAUUCACCAUAUAGAUGUUUUAUUAUUGUUGGUUUGUUGAAAUGCUUAUUAGAUAAGGAUGCAGCUAAUGAAGAACGGAAUAAAGCUAAUAGAAUUAAAUUACAGUUAUUUCAAAAAUCAUUUAUGUAUGGAGAAGAAAAAUGAAUUUUAAUGUAUGAAAUAUAACUAGUCGCAAUAAACUCUAUUUACUCAAAGCCAGAAUAAAUAAUACGUAGCACUAUUGAUAAUAA